AUUGAACGCUGGCGGCAGGCCUAACACAUGCAAGUCGAGCGGAUGAAGGGAGCUUGCUCCUGGAUUCAGCGGCGGACGGGUGAGUAAUGCCUAGGAAUCUGCCUGGUAGUGGGGGAUAACGUCCGGAAACGGGCGCUAAUACCGCAUAUGUCCUGAGGGAGAAAGUGGGGGAUCUUCGGACCUCACGCUAUCAGAUGAGCCUAGGUCGGAUUAGCUAGUUGGUGGGGUAAAGGCCUACCAAGGCGACGAUCCGUAACUGGUCUGAGAGGAUGAUCAGUCACACUGGAACUGAGACACGGUCCAGACUCCUACGGGAGGCAGCAGUGGGGAAUAUUGGACAAUGGGCGAAAGCCUGAUCCAGCCAUGCCGCGUGUGUGAAGAAGGUCUUCGGAUUGUAAAGCACUUUAAGUUGGGAGGAAGGGCAGUAAGUUAAUACCUUGCUGCUUUGACGUUACCAACAGAAUAAGCACCGGCUAACUUCGUG
Molecule: ribosomal RNA, 484 nt
Filed under: uncultured bacterium
Lineage: Bacteria
Description: partial 16S ribosomal RNA
Rfam family: Bacterial small subunit ribosomal RNA
Source: RNAcentral